Molecule: ribosomal RNA, 467 nt
Filed under: uncultured phototrophic eukaryote
Lineage: Eukaryota
Description: bacterial SSU rRNA
Rfam family: Bacterial small subunit ribosomal RNA
Source: RNAcentral
AGCAAUACCGCGUGAGGGAAGACUGCCUAUGGGUUGUAAACCUCUUUUUUCAGGGAGGAAUCAAUGACGUGUACCUGAAGAAUAAGCAUCGGCUAACUCCGUGCCAGCAGCCGCGGUAAGACGGAGGAUGCAAGUGUUAUCCGGAAUCACUGGGCGUAAAGCGUCUGUAGGUGGUUUAAUAAGUCAACUGUUAAAUCUUGAGGCUCAACUUCAAAAUCGCAGUCGAAACUAUUAGACUAGAGUAUAGUAGAGGUAAAGGGAAUUUCCAGUGGAGCGGUGAAAUGCGUAGAUAUUGGAAAGAACACCGAUGGCGAAAGCACUUUACUGGGCUAUUACUAACACUCAGAGACCAAAGCUAGGGUAGCAAAUGGGAUUAGAUACCCCAGUAGUCCUAGCCGUAAACAAUGGAUCUAGAUGUUGAACAGAUCGACCUGUGCAGUAUCAAAGCUACGCGUUAAGUAUCCCGC